UGAGGAAUAUUGCACAAUGGGCGAAAGCCUGAUGCAGCGACGCCGCGUGGGUGAAGAAGGUCUUCGGAUCGUAAAGCCCUUUUCUGCGUGACGAGGAAGGACGGUAGCGCAGGAAUAAGUCUCGGCUAACUACGUGCCAGCAGCCGCGGUAAAACGUAGGAGACAAACGUUAUCCGGAGUUACUGGGCGUAAAGGGCGUGCAGGCGGUUUCUUAAGUUCGUCGUGAAAUCGCCCGGCUGAACCGGGCGGGGUCGAUGGAUACUGGGGAACUAGCGGGCGGUAGAGGCGUGUGGAAUUCCGGGUGUAGUGGUGAAAUGCGUAGAUAUCCGGAGGAACGCCAGUGGCGAAGGCGACACGCUGGGCCGUACCUGACGCUAAGACGCGACAGCAUGGGGAGCGAACG
This 403-nucleotide ribosomal RNA is filed under the name uncultured bacterium. RNAcentral's name for it is "bacterial SSU rRNA". It matches the Rfam family "Bacterial small subunit ribosomal RNA", at positions 355 to 774 of the family's 1533-position model. The record is from RNAcentral.